UGCGGUAUAGAAUAAUGGUAGUUCAACAGCCUCAUAAGCUGCAUAGUCCCAGUUCGAAUCUGGGUACCGCGACCA
RNAcentral lists this transfer RNA (75 nucleotides) under Caudoviricetes sp. RNAcentral's name for it is "tRNA-Met". It matches the Rfam family "tRNA". Rfam says of the family: Transfer RNA (tRNA) molecules are approximately 80 nucleotides in length. Their secondary structure includes four short double-helical elements and three loops (D, anti-codon, and T loops). Lineage: Duplodnaviria; Heunggongvirae; Uroviricota; Caudoviricetes. The record is from RNAcentral.